This 1134-nucleotide ribosomal RNA is filed under the name Paropsurus giganteus. Its description in RNAcentral is "eukaryotic LSU rRNA". It matches the Rfam family "Eukaryotic large subunit ribosomal RNA", at positions 72 to 862 of the family's 3401-position model. Lineage: Eukaryota; Metazoa; Arthropoda; Malacostraca; Isopoda; Munnopsidae. The record is from RNAcentral.
AGAUUCCUCGAGUAACGGCGAGUGAAAGGGGAGAAGCUCAGCGUGUAGCCUCGGGGAUGCCCUCCAAGUGAGUGUGUUAAUCCUACGAUGGGAUGCCACGUAUGGGAGAAUGCUUGAAGAGUCUGCGACCCGGCAAUCCGAACUGUUUGAUGAAACAUUGCCCAGAGAGGGUGUUAGGCCCGUAGGACCGUUGCGUCGUGACUUUUCGCGGCUUUCUCUCGAGAGUCGGGUUGUUUGAGAAUACAGCCUUAAGAGGUGGGAAACUCCAUCUAAAGCUAAAUAUUACUGCGAGACCGAUAGCGAACAAGUACCGUGAGGGAAAGUUGAAAAGGACUCUGAAGAGAGGGUUCAAGAGAGCGUGAAACUGCCACGGGGAUAAAGCGGAUACAUUAGCGUAGUCGAAAAGGGAGAUACAGCUCGUUCGCCGUCGACCUCUCGGUUUAAAGCGACGAUCAUAGGGAAUUAUCCCGCGGUUGAUGGUGAUGGUAAUUGCGUUUGAGCGUAAUUUCUCUAUAUCUCCGCGGUUCUUGGUUCCUCUUGACGUUGCCCGAGUACAUGCGUACGUUCACGAACGAGUCUAAUUCACACCUCAGUAGGCCGUCGCGACGGUUGGAAAGUUGUCUAAGGCUUUGGAAAGGUCGCGGGAACCUUUCGUCGCGAUAGUUAUCGGUGUUAACCUUUAAUGAAACCUCGCAAUGACGAAGGGGAACGCUUUCAGGAAUUUACUGGCGGACUUUCCGACCGGAGAAAUAGACGUUGCGUUCGCGCGGUGUAGGGUAUAUCUCUUACCGCGACGGAGUGAACGUAAGUGCGGCGCUCGUAGCGACCAAUUUAUCCGUCCCGUCUUGAAACACGGACCAAGGAGUCUAACAUGUGCGCGAGUCAAAGAGCUCGCUAAACUCAUAGGCGUAAUGAAAGUAAACUGAUUGAUCCGUGCUACUGUCGUUCGUCAUCCUCGUCCUCUGGUGGUGAGGGUGGUCGUUGUUUGGAUAGUACCGGCGCAAAUCCGGGACCCGGCUUACUGCUUUUCUCGUCUCACGAUGGGAGAUGUUCAUGUGGCGGGUACCUCGAGCGUACAUGUUGGUACCCGAAAGAUGGUGAUCUAUGCUUGGCCGGGAUGAAGCCAGAGGAAAC